Molecule: unclassified non-coding RNA, 299 nt
Organism: Dicentrarchus labrax (European seabass)
Lineage: Eukaryota; Metazoa; Chordata; Actinopteri; Moronidae
Rfam family: Metazoan signal recognition particle RNA
About the family: The signal recognition particle (SRP) is a universally conserved ribonucleoprotein. It is involved in the co-translational targeting of proteins to membranes.
Source: Ensembl
GCCGGGUGCGGUGGCGCGCGCCUGUAAUCCAAGCUACCGGGAGGCUGAGGCUGGCGGAUCGUUUGAGCUCAGGAGCUCUGAGCUGCAGCGGACUAUGCCGAUCGGGUGUCCGCACUAAGUUCGGUAUCGAUAUGGUGCUCCUGGGGGAGCCCGGGACCACCAGGUCGCCUAAGGAGGGGUGCACCGGCCCAGGUCGGAAACGGAGCAGGUCAAAGCCCCCGUGCCGCUCAGUAGUGGGAUCGCGCCUGUGAAUAGACGCUGUAGUGCAGCCUGAGUAAUACAGCGGGACCCAGUCUUUU